GGCAAUGAUGAUCCAAUCCGCAUUGUUUGAGUUGUAGUGGAGCCAAGACCCUGCUUUUGUAGGGAGAACCUACUUGGUGUAAGCUACAAUUCACUGAUAUUAAUUGGAUUUAACUGAGUC
Small nucleolar RNA from Tripterygium wilfordii, 120 nucleotides. RefSeq annotates it as small nucleolar RNA Z278. Lineage: Eukaryota; Viridiplantae; Streptophyta; Magnoliopsida; Celastrales; Celastraceae. The record is from RefSeq and is a predicted model, not a curated record. The transcript has a single exon.